GCAAACCACUGAACUUCCAGUAGUUAUGUCUGGAGUGCAAGAAGGGGCUUGAAAAUGGAGCAACACAAUCACACUUGGACUUCAGGAGGAUCAUUCUGGCAGCUGCUCUUGGCUGAGAGAGAGAGAUCACAAGUAGGCAGAGAGGCAGGCAGAGGGGAGCGGGAAGCAGACUCCCUGCUGAGAAGAGAGCCCCAUGCCGCGCUGGAUCCCAGGACCCUGAGAUCAUGACCUGAGCGGAAGGCAGACGCUUAACCCACUGAGUCACCCAGGUGUGCACCCCACCCCCCCACUCCCCACCCCCACCCCCC
This 308-nucleotide long non-coding RNA is filed under the name Mustela putorius furo (domestic ferret). RNAcentral describes it as "lncRNA (ENSMPUG00000028661.1)". The record is from RNAcentral. Lineage: Eukaryota; Metazoa; Chordata; Mammalia; Carnivora; Mustelidae.